Ornithodoros turicata is the source of this 1461-nucleotide long non-coding RNA. RefSeq lists it as uncharacterized. The record is from RefSeq and is a predicted model, not a curated record. Lineage: Eukaryota; Metazoa; Arthropoda; Arachnida; Ixodida; Argasidae. The transcript has 3 exons.
CCUGUUAUGUGCGCUGCAACCUCGCCUUUGAAAGGACGGCAACCUUUCUUUUUAAUUACAAGUUUAAUGUUUGCUUAAGGUAAGUCAACCUGGCUGUGAUGCAACGUACGACGCCUGCGUUUUACUUGUGUUUAACAAUCGUUCUGUUGCAGACGAUGAACACAUUGCAAAUGGCGGCAGGAGUGGAUCCGCUACAUCGGUGAAGCGACGAUUUAUAUUACAAGCGAGGCUAAUUGUAUUCUUUCUUUAUAGGUGAACAUGGGACUGUAUCGACUACAAGGACGUAGUGUCCUGUCUUAACGGUCACGCAUAUGCGUGCAAAACUGCAACUGCUUCUUACAUCGAAGAGGGGUCUGGUGCCACAUGCUCGGACAAUUAUUCGUCGGCCAUUUCGUUUGAGGAACUGUCGUGUUCGUCACUAAGGAUGAUCUUGGUUGAGCUUUGCAGUGCCAGCCUGGUGCAUCGGAGGGGUUGUGUCCAUGCAACGUGUGCUCCAUAUGUGUGUGUGUUGGGAUUAGUGAACCGUGUAUGCUUUCCAUUCGGCCAACGAUGAUGUACUGGAUGAAAUUUAAAGAGCAUUCAAGAAAACCUGUGAAGCAAAAAAGCCGCUGCUUCUUGCUCGCUCUUUCGCUGCUCCUUGACGGCACAUUAAGCUUUGGCACACUUUGAUAUACUGGCGUCAGGAGUUUUAAAGCAGCGUUGCCCAGCAGGACUUUACAUCAUUCUUGUUGAAUGUUUCUUUUAAGACCCCAGAACUAAGGAAGACCGAGCUUUGUUAUGGCAAUGCACAAAGCAGAUGCUUUGUAUCCUGGCAAGCAAGAGUUUCAUGCCAUAUAUAGCUUCAGUGGUAAUUACGGUUAUAGUAUUGAUAUGUGGUGUUUGUCUGGUUUGGCCUCAUUAGCAAUACAAAGGAUUGUAACUGCGGUAGCAAUUGGACCUCAAGCACUAUGAAAUAAAGAACCUGUAUACUAAACCUACGCCUGGACUUUUCUUUUCAGGUGCAUUUCCCAAAUGCUGCAGUGGCUGUGCAUUUCGUGCUCGUGGAAAUUUCUUGUGUCCACAGUAAUUAGCAGAGAGGCACUCCCCUGAAUUAUGUAUGAGUAAUUCAACUCCUCAUUUAUUGGACUGCGUACAAGUGAAUAGAUUCACAGUUUCUGGCUGCUGGCAUUUGUGAGAACUAUAGCAUCUAUCUCUCAAGUAGCACAUGUAUUACUUGACAGAUAAACAACACCUUUUUGAAGGGUGUAAUAUUACCAGGGGUGUUAAAUUACACCCUAAAGGGAGUGAGUUAUAGCACUUUUGGAUUACACCCAAAAGGGUGUUUUUUAAGUAGCAAAUUACACCCUUUUUUGAGGUUGUAGCCGGUGGAAAAGGGUGUAAUAUUACACCCUAAAGGGAGUGAGUUAUCGCACUUUGGGAUUACACCCUUAUUACACCCUAAAGGGUGUAAAAAAAUUAAGA